RNAcentral lists this ribosomal RNA (492 nucleotides) under uncultured bacterium. Its description in RNAcentral is "partial 16S ribosomal RNA". It matches the Rfam family "Bacterial small subunit ribosomal RNA", at positions 29 to 507 of the family's 1533-position model. The record is from RNAcentral.
AGUGAACGCUGGCGGUAGGCCUAACACAUGCAAGUCGAACGGCAGCACAGUAAGAGCUUGCUCUUACGGGUGGCGAGUGGCGGACGGGUGAGGAAUACAUCGGAAUCUACUUUUUCGUGGGGGAUAACGUAGGGAAACUUACGCUAAUACCGCAUACGACCUACGGGUGAAAGCAGGGGAUCUUCGGACCUUGCGCGAUUGAAUGAGCCGAUGUCGGAUUAGCUAGUUGGCGGGGUAAAGGCCCACCAAGGCGACGACCCGUAGCUGGUCUGAGAGGAUGAUCAGCCACACUGGAACUGGGACACGGUCCAGACUCCUACGGGAGGCAGCAGUGGGGAAUAUUGGACAAUGGGCGCAAGCCUGAUCCAGCCAUACCGCGUGGGUGAAGAAGGCCUUCGGGUUGUAAAGCCCUUUUGUUGGGAAAGAAAAGCAGCAGGUUAAUACCCCGCUGUUCUGACGGUACCCAAAGAAUAAGCACCGGCUAACUUCGUG